Molecule: ribosomal RNA, 465 nt
Filed under: uncultured bacterium
Lineage: Bacteria
Description: partial 16S ribosomal RNA
Rfam family: Bacterial small subunit ribosomal RNA
Source: RNAcentral
GACGAACGCUGGCGGCGUGCUUAACACAUGCAAGUCGAACGGAAAGGCCCUGCUUGCCGGGUACUCGAGUGGCGAACGGGUGAGUAACACGUGGGUGAUCUGCCCUGCACUUCGGGAUAAGCCUGGGAAACUGGGUCUAAUACCGGAUAGGAGCCAUUUUUAGUGCGAUGGUUGGAAAGUUUUUUCGGUGUAGGAUGAGCUCGCGGCCUAUCAGCUUGUUGGUGGGGUAAUGGCCUACCAAGGCGGCGACGGGUAGCCGGCCUGAGAGGGUGGACGGCCACAUUGGGACUGAGAUACGGCCCAGACUCCUACGGGAGGCAGCAGUGGGGAAUAUUGCACAAUGGGCGCAAGCCUGAUGCAGCGACGCCGCGUGGGGGAUGACGGCCUUCGGGUUGGAAACUCCUUUCGCUAGGGACGAAGCUUUUUGUGACGGUACCUAGAGAAGAAGCACCGGCUAACUACGUG